RNAcentral lists this ribosomal RNA (262 nucleotides) under uncultured bacterium. Its description in RNAcentral is "partial 16S ribosomal RNA". It matches the Rfam family "Bacterial small subunit ribosomal RNA", at positions 524 to 783 of the family's 1533-position model. The record is from RNAcentral.
UACGUAGGGUGCAAGCGUUAAUCGGAAUUACUGGGCGUAAAGCGUGCGCAGGCGGUUAUGUAAGACAGGUGUGAAAUCCCCGGGCUUAACCUGGGAACUGCAUUUGUGACUGCAUAGCUAGAGUACGGUAGAGGGGGAUGGAAUUCCGCGUGUAGCAGUGAAAUGCGUAGAUAUGCGGAGGAACACCGAUGGCGAAGGCAAUCCCCUGGACCUGUACUGACGCUCAUGCACGAAAGCGUGGGGGAGCAAACGAGGAUUACAG